RNAcentral lists this ribosomal RNA (410 nucleotides) under uncultured microorganism. Its description in RNAcentral is "bacterial SSU rRNA". It matches the Rfam family "Archaeal small subunit ribosomal RNA", at positions 330 to 745 of the family's 1478-position model. The record is from RNAcentral.
GUGCAGCAGUCGCGAAAACUUUACAAUGUGCGAAAGCACGAUAAGGGAACUCUGAGUGCCUCCUAAGGAGGCUGUUCAGGUGUCUAAAAAGCACCUGGAGUAAGGGCUGGGUAAGACCGGUGCCAGCCGCCGCGGUAACACCGGCAGCCCAGGUGGUAGCCACUUUUAUUGGGUCUAAAGCGUCCGUAGCCGGUUGAGUAAGUUCCUUGGGAAAUUUGGCUGCUCAACAGUCAAGCUUCCAGGGAAUACUGCUCGACUUGGGACUGGGAGAGGUCAGAGGUACUCCAGGGGUAGGGGUGAAAUCCAUUAAUCCCUGGGGGACCACCGGUAGCGAAGGCGUCUGACCAGACCAGGUCCGACGGUGAGGGACGAAGGCUAGGGUCGCGAACCGGAUUAGAUACCCCCGUAGU